RNAcentral lists this ribosomal RNA (372 nucleotides) under uncultured organism. Its description in RNAcentral is "bacterial SSU rRNA". It matches the Rfam family "Bacterial small subunit ribosomal RNA", at positions 526 to 896 of the family's 1533-position model. The record is from RNAcentral.
CGGGGGGGGCAAGCGUUGUUCGGAAUUACUGGGCGUAAAGGGCUCGUAGGUGGCCAACUAAGUCAGACGUGAAAUCCCUCAGCUUAACUGGGGAACUGCGUCUGAUACUGGAUGGCUUGAGUUUGGGAGAGGGAUGCGGAAUUCCAGGUGUAGCGGUGAAAUGCGUAGAUAUCUGGAGGAACACCGGUGGCGAAGGCGGCAUCCUGGACCAACACUGACACUGAGGAGCGAAAGCCAGGGGAGCAAACGGGAUUAGAUACCCCGGUAGUCCUGGCCCUAAACGAUGAAUGCUUGGUGUGGCGGGUAUCGAUCCCUGCCGUGCCGAAGCUAACGCAUUAAGCAUUCCGCCUGGGGAGUACGGUCGCAAGGCUG